Molecule: ribosomal RNA, 1472 nt
Filed under: uncultured Acidobacteriota bacterium
Lineage: Bacteria; Pseudomonadati; Acidobacteriota
Description: bacterial SSU rRNA
Rfam family: Bacterial small subunit ribosomal RNA
Source: RNAcentral
ACGUAGGCCCCUGGCUCAGAAUCAACGCUGGCGGCGUGCCUAACACAUGCAAGUCGAACGCGAAAGGGGCUUCGGCCCUGUGUGAGUGGCAAACGGGUGAGUAACACGUGGGUGACCUGCCUUCGAGUGGGGGAUAACGUUUCGAAAGGAACGCUAAUACCGCAUGACAUCCUGCCUUUGGACAGGUGGUGAUCAAAGCUGGGGAUUCUCGGAACCUGGCGCUUGAAGAGGGGCCCGCGCCCGAUUAGCUAGUUGGUGGGGUAAUGGCCUACCAAGGCGACGAUCGGUAGCCGGCCUGAGAGGGCGGACGGCCACACUGGGACUGAGACACGACCCAGACUCCUACGGGAGGCAGCAGUGGGGAAUUGUUCGCAAUGGACGAAAGUCUGACGAUGCAACGCCGCGUGGAGGAUGAAGGUCUUCGGAUUGUAAACUCCUGUUGACCGGGAAGAAUUUCUCCGGGGCUAACACCCCUGGAGGUUGACGGUACCGGUUGAGGAAGCCCCGGCUAACUGGUGCCAGCAGCCGCGGUAAUACAGAGGGGGCAAGCGCUGUUCGGAAUUACUGGGCGUAAAGGGCGCGUAGGCGGCCUCUUCAGUCGGACGUGAAAUCCCUCGGCUUACCGGGGAACUGCAUCCGAUACUGGGAGGCUGGAGUUCGGGAGAGGGAUGUGGAAUUCCAGGUGUAGCGGUGAAAUGCGUAGAUAUCUGGAGGAACACCGGUGGCGAAGGCGGCAUCCUGGACCGACACUGACGCUGAGGCGCGAAAGCCAGGGGAGCAAACGGGAUUAGAUACCCCGGUAGUCCUGGCCCUAGACGAUGAAUAGAUGGUGUGGCGGGUAUCGAUCCCUGCCGUGCCGAAGCUAACGCAUUAAGCAUUUUGCCUGGGGAGUACGGUCGCAAGGCUGAAACUCAAGGAACUGACGGGGGCCCGCACAAGCGGUGGAGCAUGUGGUUUAAUUCGACGCAACGCGAAGAACCUUACCCAGGCUUGAACUGCAGGUGACCAUCUACGAAAGUAGACUCCCGCAAGGGCACCUGUAGAAGUGCUGCAUGGCUUUCGUCAGCUCGUGUCGUAAAUGUUGGGUUAAGUCCCAUAUAACGAGCGCAACCCUUGUUUGCUGUUGCCAUCAGGUUAUGCUGGGCACUCUAUUGAGACUGCCGGUGACAAACCUUAAGGAAGGUGGGGAUGACGUCAAGUCAGCAUGGCCUUCACCAUGUCUGGGGCUACACACGUGCUACAAUGGCCGGUACAAACCGUUUACAGAUCCUGCGAAGGGGAGCUAAUCGGAGAAAGCCGGUCUCAGUUCGGAUUGUAGGCUGCAACCCCGCCUGCAUGAAGUUGGAAUCGCUAGUAAUCGCGGAUCAGCAAUAUCGCGGUGAAUACGUUCUUUCGGGCCUUGUACACACCGCCCGUUACAUCACGAACCUGGCUGUACUAGAAAUCGCCGGGCUAUUAUACCAGGAUUAUAU